GGGCCCGUAGCUUAGCCCGGUAGAGCAGCGGUCUUAUACACCGCCGGUCGACAGUUCAAAUCUGUCCGGGCCCA
This 74-nucleotide transfer RNA is filed under the name Candidatus Woesearchaeota archaeon. RNAcentral's name for it is "tRNA-Ile". It matches the Rfam family "tRNA". From Rfam's summary of the family: Transfer RNA (tRNA) molecules are approximately 80 nucleotides in length. Their secondary structure includes four short double-helical elements and three loops (D, anti-codon, and T loops). Further hydrogen bonds mediate the characteristic L-shaped molecular structure. tRNAs have two regions of fundamental functional importance: the anti-codon, which is responsible for specific mRNA codon recognition, and the 3' end, to which the tRNAs corresponding amino acid is attached (by aminoacyl-tRNA synthetases). tRNAs cope with the degeneracy of the genetic code in two manners: having more than one tRNA (with a specific anti-codon) for a particular amino acid; and 'wobble' base-pairing, i.e. permitting non-standard base-pairing at the 3rd anti-codon position. The record is from RNAcentral. Lineage: Archaea; Nanobdellati; Candidatus Woesearchaeota.